Molecule: long non-coding RNA, 252 nt
Filed under: Homo sapiens (human)
Lineage: Eukaryota; Metazoa; Chordata; Mammalia; Primates; Hominidae
Description: HSALNT0392796
Source: RNAcentral
CACUGCCCCACAUCCUGGGGCAGCGGGAUACAUAUCAGUCAGGGUCUUGGCAGAAAGAGAUGGGGCACUCAGCCCAGGUGAAUAAAGAGAGUUUAUUAAAGGGACUAUUUAUAAAGGCAUGGCUGGAGCGAAGGAAUCCUUAAUAAGGGAUGCGGCAGAACAGCAGAAGGAGUGAGUACCACAUGCACCAGGAGCUGUCACCACCCCAGGAUCAGGAGGGCCAGGUAGAGAUCUUCUGCUGGUGCCUCUCUU